Molecule: non-coding RNA, 70 nt
Organism: Phrynosoma platyrhinos (Desert horned lizard)
Lineage: Eukaryota; Metazoa; Chordata; Lepidosauria; Squamata; Phrynosomatidae
Source: the annotation of a GenBank genome assembly
UGCAGCGUGGCGAAGUGGUUUGAACGUUGGACUACCACUCUGGAGAUCAGGGUUCGAAUCCCCGCUUGAG